This 253-nucleotide ribosomal RNA is filed under the name uncultured bacterium. Its description in RNAcentral is "partial 16S ribosomal RNA". It matches the Rfam family "Bacterial small subunit ribosomal RNA", at positions 524 to 776 of the family's 1533-position model. The record is from RNAcentral.
UACGUAGGGUGCAAGCGUUAAUCGGAAUUACUGGGCGUAAAGCGUGCGCAGGCGGUGAUGCGAGACAGAUGUGAAAUCCCCGGGCUUAACCUGGGAAUGGCAUUUGGGACUGCAAGGCUCGAGUGCGGCAGAGGAGACUGGAAUUCCUGGUGUAGCAGUGAAAUGCGUAGAUAUCAGGAGGAACACCGAUGGCGAAGGCAGGUCUCUGGGCUGACACUGACGCUCAUGCACGAAAGCGUGGGGAGCAAACAGG